AGGGCUGUAGCUUAGUGGUAGAGCGCUUGCCUAGCAUGCAUGAAGCACUGGUUCAAUCCUCAGCACUG
This 68-nucleotide transfer RNA is filed under the name Ictidomys tridecemlineatus (thirteen-lined ground squirrel). Its description in RNAcentral is "Spermophilus tridecemlineatus (thirteen-lined ground squirrel) tRNA". It matches the Rfam family "tRNA". From Rfam's summary of the family: Transfer RNA (tRNA) molecules are approximately 80 nucleotides in length. Their secondary structure includes four short double-helical elements and three loops (D, anti-codon, and T loops). The record is from Rfam by way of RNAcentral. Lineage: Eukaryota; Metazoa; Chordata; Mammalia; Rodentia; Sciuridae.